UGGCUCUCGCAUCGAUGAAGAACGCAGCGAAAUGCGAUAAGUAAUGUGAAUUGCAGAAUUCAGUGAAUCAUCGAAUCUUUGAACGCACCUUGCGCUCCUUGGUAUUCCGAGGAGCAUGCCUGUUUGAGUGUCAUUAAAUCCUCAACCUCACCAGUUUUGUAACGAGACAGGUGAAGGCUUGGAUGUGGGGGUCUUUGCAGGCUGCUUCAAUGCUGGUCUGCUCCCCUGAAAUGCAUUAGCGAGCUCAUAUCGAGCUUCCGUCUAUUGGUGUGAUAAUUAUCUACGCCGUGGAUUGGACUCGUGCUUGCUUCUAACCGUCCGCAAGGACAAUUUACUUGACCAAUUUGACCUCAAAUCAGGUAGGACUACCCGCUGA
RNAcentral lists this unclassified non-coding RNA (376 nucleotides) under uncultured fungus. RNAcentral's name for it is "partial contains 5.8S ribosomal RNA and internal transcribed spacer 2". The stretch from base 1 to 133 matches the Rfam family "5.8S ribosomal RNA", at positions 22 to 154 of the family's 154-position model. The record is from RNAcentral. Lineage: Eukaryota; Fungi.